RNAcentral lists this ribosomal RNA (474 nucleotides) under uncultured bacterium. Its description in RNAcentral is "bacterial SSU rRNA". It matches the Rfam family "Bacterial small subunit ribosomal RNA", at positions 27 to 518 of the family's 1533-position model. The record is from RNAcentral.
GGACGAACGCUGGCGGCGUGCCUAACACAUGCAAGUCGAGCGAGGAGAUUCCUCGGGAUGAUCCUAGCGGCGGACGGGUGAGUAACACGUGGGCAACCUGCCUCAUAGAGAGGAAUAGCCUUCCGAAAGGGAGAUUAAUACCUCAUAACAUUGCAGUUUCGCAUGGAACAGCAAUUAAAGGAGCAAUCCACUAUGAGAUGGGCCCGCGGCGCAUUAGCUAGUUGGUGAGGUAACGGCUCACCAAGGCGACGAUGCGUAGCCGACCUGAGAGGGUGAUCGGCCACAUUGGGACUGAGACACGGCCCAGACUCCUACGGGAGGCAGCAGUGGGGAAUAUUGCACAAUGGGGGAAACCCUGAUGCAAGCAACGCCGCGUGAGUGAUGACGGCCUUCGGGUUGUAAAGCUCUGUCUUCAGGGACGAUAAUGACGGUACCUGAGGAGGAAGCCACGGCUAACUACGUGCCAGCCGCAGC